UGCAUUCACUACUGUAAAUCGCUCUGGAUAAGAGUGUCUGCUGAAUGACUAAAA
Salmo salar (Atlantic salmon) is the source of this 54-nucleotide non-coding RNA. NCBI's taxonomy places the organism in Eukaryota, Metazoa, Chordata, Actinopteri, Salmoniformes, Salmonidae. The record is from Rfam.